Molecule: ribosomal RNA, 419 nt
Filed under: uncultured bacterium
Lineage: Bacteria
Description: bacterial SSU rRNA
Rfam family: Bacterial small subunit ribosomal RNA
Source: RNAcentral
UAUUGGUCAAUGGACGCAAGUCUGAACCAGCCAAGUAGCGUGCAGGAUGACGGCCCUCCGGGUUGUAAACUGCUUUUAGUUGGGAAUAAAAGGGGGCUCGUGAGCCCCGUAUUGUAUGUACCAUCAGAAAAAGGACCGGCUAAUUCCGUGCCAGCAGCCGCGGUAAUACGGAAGGUCCGGGCGUUAUCCGGAUUUAUUGGGUUUAAAGGGAGCGUAGGCCGGCUUUUAAGUCAGCUGUGAAAGUCCGCGGCUCAACCGUGGAAUUGCAGCUGAAACUGGAGGCCUUGAGUGCACACAGGGAUGCCGGAAUUCAUGGUGUAGCGGUGAAAUGCUUAGAUAUCAUGAAGAACUCCGAUCGCGAAGGCAAGUGUCCGGGGUGCAACUGACGCUGAGGCUCGAAAGUGCGGGUAUCAAACAGG